RNAcentral lists this ribosomal RNA (475 nucleotides) under uncultured Campylobacterota bacterium. Its description in RNAcentral is "bacterial SSU rRNA". It matches the Rfam family "Bacterial small subunit ribosomal RNA", at positions 1 to 504 of the family's 1533-position model. Lineage: Bacteria; Pseudomonadati; Campylobacterota. The record is from RNAcentral.
UGGAGAGUUUGAUCCUGGCUCAGAGUGAACGCUGGCGGCGUGCCUAACACAUGCAAGUCGAACGAUGAAGUCCUUCGGGAUGGAUUAGUGGCGCACGGGUGAGUAAUGCAUAGAUAAUGUGCCCCUUAGUUCGGGAUAGCCACUGGAAACGGUGAUUAAUACCGGAUACUCCUUCUUGUCUCAAGGCAAGUCGGGAAAGUUUUUCGCUAAGGGAUCAGUCUAUGUUCCAUCAGGUAGUUGGUGAGGUAAUGGCUCACCAAGCCUAUGACGGAUAUCUGGUUUGAGAGGAUGAUCAGACACACUGGAACUGAGACACGGUCCAGACUCCUACGGGAGGCAGCAGUGAGGAAUAUUGCACAAUGGAGGAAACUCUGAUGCAGCAACGCCGCGUGGAGGAUGACGCAUUUCGGUGUGUAAGCUCCUUUUAUUAGGGAAGAUAAUGACGGUACCUAAUGAAUAAGCACCGGCUAACUCC